UAGGGAAUCUUCGGCAAUGGACGGAAGUCUGACCGAGCAACGCCGCGUGAGUGAAGAAGGUUUUCGGAUCGUAAAGCUCUGUUGUAAGAGAAGAACAAGUGUGAGAGUGGAAAGUUCACACUGUGACGGUAUCUUACCAGAAAGGGACGGCUAACUACGUGCCAGCAGCCGCGGUAAUACGUAGGUCCCGAGCGUUGUCCGGAUUUAUUGGGCGUAAAGCGAGCGCAGGCGGUUAGAUAAGUCUGAAGUUAAAGGCUGUGGCUUAACCAUAGUACGCUUUGGAAACUGUUUAACUUGAGUGCAAGAGGGGAGAGUGGAAUUCCAUGUGUAGCGGUGAAAUGCGUAGAUAUAUGGAGGAACACCGGUGGCGAAAGCGGCUCUCUGGCUUGUAACUGACGCUGAGGCUCGAAAGCGUGGGGAGCAAACAGGAUUAGAUACCCUGGUAGUCCACGCCGUAAACGAUGAGUGCUAGGUGUUAGACCCUUUCCGGGGUUUAGUGCCGUAGCUAACGCAUUAAGCACUCCGCCUGGGGAGUACGACCGCAAGGUUG
RNAcentral lists this ribosomal RNA (550 nucleotides) under uncultured bacterium. Its description in RNAcentral is "bacterial SSU rRNA". It matches the Rfam family "Bacterial small subunit ribosomal RNA", at positions 355 to 896 of the family's 1533-position model. The record is from RNAcentral.